GGCUCAGAUUGAACGCUGGCGGCAUGCCUUACACAUGCAAGUCGAACGGCAGCACGGGAGCAAUCCUGGUGGCGAGUGGCGAACGGGUGAGUAAAGUAUCGGAACGUGCCCAGUCGUGGGGGAUAACGUAGCGAAAGUUACGCUAAUACCGCAUACGAUCUACGGAUGAAAGCGGGGGAUCGCAAGACCUCGCGCGAUUGGAGCGGCUGAUAUCAGAUUAGGUAGUUGGUGGGGUAAAGGCUCACCAAGCCGACGAUCUGUAGCUGGUCUGAGAGGACGACCAGCCACACUGGGACUGAGACACGGCCCAGACUCCUACGGGAGGCAGCAGUGGGGAAUUUUGGACAAUGGGCGCAAGCCUGAUCCAGCCAUGCCGCGUGCAGGAUGAAGGCCUUCGGGUUGUAAACUGCUUUUGUACGGAACGAAAAGGUUUGGCCUAAUAAGCUGGACCCAUGACGGUACCGUAAGAAUAAGCGCCGGCUAACUACGUG
Molecule: ribosomal RNA, 491 nt
Filed under: uncultured bacterium
Lineage: Bacteria
Description: bacterial SSU rRNA
Rfam family: Bacterial small subunit ribosomal RNA
Source: RNAcentral